This 412-nucleotide ribosomal RNA is filed under the name uncultured bacterium. RNAcentral's name for it is "bacterial SSU rRNA". It matches the Rfam family "Bacterial small subunit ribosomal RNA", at positions 505 to 916 of the family's 1533-position model. The record is from RNAcentral.
GUGUCAGCAGCCGCGGUAAUACGUAAGGAGCGAGCGUUGUCCGGAUUUACUGGGCGUAAAGGGCUCGUAGGCGGCUUCUUAGGUCUCACGUGAAAUUCCCUGGCUCAACCGGGGAGGGUCGUGGGAAACCGGGAGGCUAGAGGGCAGGAGAGGAGAGUGGAAUUCCCGGUGUAGCGGUGAAAUGCGUAGAGAUCGGGAGGAACACCAGUGGUGAAGACGGCUCUCUGGACUGUUCCUGACGCUGAGGAGCGAAAGCCAGGGGAGCAAACCGGAUUAGAUACCCGGGUAGUCCUGGCCGUAAACGAUGGGUACUAGGUGUGGGGGGUUCGACCCCCUCCGUGCCGCAGUUAACGCAUUAAGUACCCCGCCUGGGGACUACGACCGCAAGGUUAAAACUCAAAGGAAUUGACGG